GCGGGAAUCAACUUAUUGGUAAGUCUAUGAUAUUUUUUCUUUCCUUAUUUUAUUUUUUUAGUCUUUAUUUUUACAUUCUUUUUAAAAUUGUGGAUUCAAUUAGAGGGAGAGGUUUAUCUAAACAGUUAAAAUUUUGAUAUCAUAUAAUGUUGAGUGGGGUAUAGGAAUUGAUUCAAUUCUUCUCAUACCCUAUCGCGUCACUAUGGUAUAACAUUGAGAUAUUAAUUGCAAUCACUUUUUCUAAAGACCUUACACAUUUGGAAACUUGAUUUAGAAAAUCCUAUUCUAGUUUUUUAAAAGCCAAUGGAGAUUAAGACACAAAGCAUAAUGGAGCACAUGUGCAAGGAGAUGAGCAUUGCAUAAAUGCAACUCAAAAUGUGCAUGGGCCACACGGGACAAAAAUUAUUAUACUAAGUCGGCCACUCACUAGAUCAUGGACCAAGAGACUCAAGUAAGCCUUUCAAGUUUACGUUCAAGAAUGAAUAAGGAAUGUUUGGGCUGAACAAUAAAGAAGUGGACCAAAUUCACUAAGUCACAUGGAGAAGUAGCUCGUUGAUCUUCUACAAGUCAUUAGG
RNAcentral lists this long non-coding RNA (575 nucleotides) under Carica papaya (papaya). Its description in RNAcentral is "long non-coding RNA (CPAP_LNC007746)". Lineage: Eukaryota; Viridiplantae; Streptophyta; Magnoliopsida; Brassicales; Caricaceae. The record is from RNAcentral.